AAAGCAGGCUAACGCUUGAAUACAUUAGCAUGGAAUAAUGAAAUAGGACGUUCGAUCCUAUUUUGUUGGUUUCUAGGAUUGACGUAAUGAUUAAUAGGGAUAGUUGGGGGCAUUAGUAUUCAAUUGUCAGAGGUGAAAUUCUUGGAUUUAUUGAAGACUAACUACUGCGAAAAGCAUUUGCCAAGGAUGUUUCAUUAAUCAAGAACGAAAGUUAGGGGAUCGAAGACGAUCAGAUACCGUCGUAGUCUUAACCAUAAACUAUGCCGACUAGGGAUCGGAUGAUGUUAAUUUUUAAUGACUCAUUCGGCGCCUUACG
RNAcentral lists this ribosomal RNA (316 nucleotides) under uncultured Glomus. Its description in RNAcentral is "SSU rRNA". It matches the Rfam family "Eukaryotic small subunit ribosomal RNA", at positions 777 to 1092 of the family's 1831-position model. Lineage: Eukaryota; Fungi; Glomeromycota; Glomeromycetes; Glomerales; Glomeraceae. The record is from RNAcentral.